GGAUCUAGUGGUCGAGUUGGAGAAGGGCGGCGUGUUGAAGGAUGUUAGACCUUGAAAUCGGUGUUCUCUCGUGUACUCCCACUGGACUCGCUGUCGCCGAGGUCUUUUUGUAAGGUUGACGAGAGGAGAUUUUUCUUCUUUUCACUCGUCCAUUCUUGGGAUAGCGUCUAUCAGUUUUUGGUGGGUUUUGAGUGGUGAGCAGAAGUGUGUAAGAAACCGUAGGUAUUCUAAUUUUGUCCAGGGCUAAGCCGAUGGCUUCUUCAAUGUAAAGAUGAGAUUACUGUAUAGCUCGAUUCUUGGGGGAUCGGUUGGAGCGAUAAUUAUGCGGCUUAAGCAGCUGUUUCACCCAAUGUGCUAAAUUCUAAUGUCCCAUGUCUCAUGUCAUGAGCAUGUGACCUUUGCAAAUUGAGAGAUCUUCUUGAGUGAUUUGUCGUUCAGCAAUUACAUUCAAAUGGUUAUCUUGUGUGGUUAUUUAGAAAACAGCUUUUUGGGGCUUCGCCCAUGUAGAGCAUGUCUUUUGGAAUAUGUGGUUCUUUUCUUGGAGAAUUUGGUAGUUUAAUGUAUCAAUACAAGAUUCGUUUUCAAAUCAUAAUGGCCGGCAGCAAUUGAGGG
This 612-nucleotide long non-coding RNA is filed under the name Eucalyptus grandis. RNAcentral's name for it is "long non-coding RNA (EGRA_LNC005470)". Lineage: Eukaryota; Viridiplantae; Streptophyta; Magnoliopsida; Myrtales; Myrtaceae. The record is from RNAcentral.